UACCCGCGACAGGACGGAAAGACCCCGUGGAGCUUUACUGUAGCCUGAUAUUGAAUUUUGGUGCAACUUGUACAGGAUAGGUAGGAGCCAAUGAACUCGGAGCGCCAGCUUCGGGGGAGGCGUCGGUGGGAUACUACCCUGGUUGUAUUGAACUUCUAACCCGCACCCCUGAUCGGGGUGGGAGACAGUGUCAGGCGGGCAGUUUGACUGGGGCGGUCGCCUCCUAAAGAGU
Molecule: ribosomal RNA, 232 nt
Filed under: Candidatus Phytoplasma mali
Lineage: Bacteria; Bacillati; Mycoplasmatota; Mollicutes; Acholeplasmatales; Acholeplasmataceae
Also listed under: 4 other names
Description: partial 23S ribosomal RNA
Rfam family: Bacterial large subunit ribosomal RNA
Source: RNAcentral